This is a long non-coding RNA of Magallana angulata, 1820 nucleotides long. RefSeq lists it as uncharacterized. Lineage: Eukaryota; Metazoa; Mollusca; Bivalvia; Ostreida; Ostreidae. The transcript is spliced from 3 exons. The record is from RefSeq and is a predicted model, not a curated record.
UUAUUAUGUUAAAUAUUUGAGCUUAAAUGAGGCAUUUCGGUGUUUUUGAAGGGCAUUUUAAAAUGAUUUCGGUGUUUUCAUCGGGCAUUUCGGUAAAUCACGGGCAUUUCGGUAAUUCUAGUUACCCCCCUGCAGCAUGGUCAUGGUCACUACUACACUACUUCACUUAUGAUGGCGUUUAAGAGAUAUUCGCAGGCAAGUAAUGUAACAAUUAAGGAUGUAUAGUAAAAUACUCUCGUAACGGAUAUAUAUUAUAUUGGAACGACCAGAAACUGGUGGGGAUCAUUAAGACAAAGACACUCGUGGAUUAGAGAGAAAACCAUGGAAGGACCCUUAAAUUUAUGGGGACCCGAAUACUAUUUACCAAAUUGGACACUGGAAUAUUCUUAAUCAGCUACAGAGAACCAUUUAAACAAGACCUUGAACUUUCAGUAACGUGUAACUAUCUUUUUUAUGGGUCAAAACAAGUUAAAAUGAUGCUGUUUUCAAGUGAAAUAUACACAGAUUGGUAGUCUUAGCUCAAAAGCCAGACAAAUCUUGUUGAUUUCAAAGAGCCAUGGCUGAGAUGCCAGCAAUGAAAUAGACAGGCCUACGUCAAAUUGCUGUUUGACACAACUACCCAAAGUCCAAGCUCCUGUUAAAAUGGUUCUAUUUUUAUCUUACCAAAAUAAGCAGCAGUAUUGCCCUUGAAUGCAAACCUUAAGGAAUGUCUUCAAUGUUAAAGUUAAUGGAAUUCACUGGUCAGUAAAGAAAAUUAUUAUAUAAUUGUGUAAAAAAAAAAUCGGAGGUGGGACAUGUGCUAUUUGAUAUUAUGUCAAUUUGUGCCCUUGCCUACCGAUGGUGCCAGCAUUGAAAAAUCUACGUACAGUUUCCAUAAAACACUUUUAUUUAUGAAAUGAAAUUUGCCAAAAUUUGCCACCCCCCCCCCCCCCAGAUGAUUUGCUAUUUAGCAGUAAAUCACAAAUAAAAAGAAAAGCCAAGUUUGGAAUUUGUUCAUUAAGAAAUUCUGUAGGAAAUAUUAAAAUUAAAGGUACAUAGGAUCAAAUACUGUACAUUGUGAAAAAGAAAAAAUUAUCAGCAAAAAAUGGAAAUGAAGUGAAAAUCAGACGAAACAGGGAAACAUGGAAAAUCAACAGAAAAGGGAGUGCAAUCAGAUGUGUUCAGCUUCAGGGGACUUGUUUUGUAACCACAGAAUAACAGUUACUCCAGCAAGAGCUUUCAAAUCAAAUGCACAUACAUGUUGUAGUGUUGUAUGAAUGUACUUUAAAACAUGCUAGAAUGAUGCCGUGUGUGUGACGGUCAGACCGGUUCGAAUACCGGCGCCAGAUAGCUCAGUUGGUAGAGCACCUGACUAGAGAUUCAGGGGGCCCGGGUUCGAAUCCCGGUCUGGUCCGUCAUUAUUUCUCCCAUCCCGUUACAUUUGGUGCCGUGACCAACCCCUGGAACUGACAGGUGAACUCCUGCCAGGGGAAGAGCCUGGGGUGAUCUUCGGGGACGAAGAUCAUUUAAGGGGGGAGGAAUGUGACGGUCAGACCGGUUCGAAUACCGGCGCCAGAUAGCUCAGUUGGUAGAGCACCUGACUAGAGAUUCAGGGGGCCCGGGUUCGAAUCCCGGUCUGGUCCGUCAUUAUUUCUCCCAUCCCGUUACAUGUGUUUGUGGUUAUGCACGAGUUGGAUGUCGUCUGGUCACUGUGGAUAGUGCAUGGAAGUAACUUUAUGCAUUGAAGACUGUUGUUAGAUCAUGUGAGGAGAAAUUGUUAUACAUUAAUCUGUAAGUGUAACUGUUUUGUGUUGACCAAUUAUAGUCUGUUCCAAGAUAUU